Molecule: ribosomal RNA, 380 nt
Filed under: uncultured eukaryote
Lineage: Eukaryota
Description: partial 18S ribosomal RNA
Rfam family: Eukaryotic small subunit ribosomal RNA
Source: RNAcentral
CAAUAGCGUAUAUUAAAGUUGUUGCGGUUAAAAAGCUCGUAGUUGGAUUUCUGCCGAGGACGACCGGUCCGCCCUCUGGGUGUGUAUCUGGUUUGGCCUGGGCAUCUUCUUGGAGAACGUAGCUGCACUUGACUGUGUGGUGCGGUGUCCAGGACUUUUACUUUGAGGAAAUUAGAGUGUUUCAAGCAGGCACACGCCUUGAAUACAUUAGCAUGGAAUAAUAAGAUAGGACCUCGGUUCUAUUUUGUUGGUUUCUAGAGCUGAGGUAAUGAUUAAUAGGGAUAGUUGGGGGCAUUCGUAUUUAACUGUCAGAGGUGAAAUUCUUGGAUUUGUUAAAAACGGACUACUGCGAAAGCAUUUGCCAAGGAUGUUUUCAUUGA